Molecule: ribosomal RNA, 279 nt
Filed under: uncultured bacterium
Lineage: Bacteria
Description: partial 16S ribosomal RNA
Rfam family: Bacterial small subunit ribosomal RNA
Source: RNAcentral
UGCCAGCAGCCGCGGUAAUACGGGGGGGGCAAGCGUUGUUCGGAAUUACUGGGCGUAAAGGGCGCGUAGGCGGGCGGAUAAGUCUCUCGUGAAAGCCCACGGCUCAACCGUGGAAUUGCGGGAGAUACUAUUCGUCUUGAGUCCGGGAGAGGUGUGUGGAAUUCCCAGUGUAGCGGUGAAAUGCGUAGAUAUUGGGAGGAACACCGGUGGCGAAGGCGACACACUGGACCGGUACUGACGCUGAGGCGCGAAAGCCAGGGGAGCAAACGGGAUUAGAUA